Molecule: ribosomal RNA, 911 nt
Filed under: Microbacterium paraoxydans
Lineage: Bacteria; Bacillati; Actinomycetota; Actinomycetes; Micrococcales; Microbacteriaceae
Description: bacterial SSU rRNA
Rfam family: Bacterial small subunit ribosomal RNA
Source: RNAcentral
GGCGUGCUUAACACAUGCAAGUCGAACGGUGAACACGGAGCUUGCUCUGUGGGAUCAGUGGCGAACGGGUGAGUAACACGUGAGCAACCUGCCCCUGACUCUGGGAUAAGCGCUGGAAACGGCGUCUAAUACUGGAUAUGUGACGUGACCGCAUGGUCUGCGUUUGGAAAGAUUUUUCGGUUGGGGAGGGGCUCGCGGCCUAUCAGCUUGUUGGUGAGGUAAUGGCUCACCAAGGCGUCGACGGGUAGCCGGCCUGAGAGGGUGACCGGCCACACUGGGACUGAGACACGGCCCAGACUCCUACGGGAGGCAGCAGUGGGGAAUAUUGCACAAUGGGCGAAAGCCUGAUGCAGCAACGCCGCGUGAGGGAUGACGGCCUUCGGGUUGUAAACCUCUUUUAGCAGGGAAGAAGCGAAAGUGACGGUACCUGCAGAAAAAGCGCCGGCUAACUACGUGCCAGCAGCCGCGGUAAUACGUAGGGCGCAAGCGUUAUCCGGAAUUAUUGGGCGUAAAGAGCUCGUAGGCGGUUUGUCGCGUCUGCUGUGAAAUCCCGAGGCUCAACCUCGGGCCUGCAGUGGGUACGGGCAGACUAGAGUGCGGUAGGGGAGAUUGGAAUUCCUGGUGUAGCGGUGGAAUGCGCAGAUAUCAGGAGGAACACCGAUGGCGAAGGCAGAUCUCUGGGCCGUAACUGACGCUGAGGAGCGAAAGGGUGGGGAGCAAACAGGCUUAGAUACCCUGGUAGUCCACCCCGUAAACGUUGGGAACUAGUUGUGGGGUCCAUUCCACGGAUUCCGUGACGCAGCUAACGCAUUAAGUUCCCCGCCUGGGGAGUACGGCCGCAAGGCUAAAACUCAAAGGAAUUGACGGGGACCCGCACAAGCGGCGGAGCAUGCGGAUUAAUUCGAUGCAAC